AUUCGUUCUCACCAUAAGUUCCAGUAGCAGACCUGAACCCAAGUAGUUAUCAAGAAAUUCACAGCAGAUGUCAUCUUCCUCUCAUCCAUCAAUGGCGCUAGCUUUCUACAGCUACUCCCCCUGUAAACCCUCUUCUUCAACAAAUUCCAGUUUCCUUAGUUCGUCAUCUCACACGAAGCAGCAGUCAAAUCUUCUCUUUCCUCUGAGAAAAAAAUUAAGGCAGCAGAGUCGGAGCUUAUGUAUCGUUAGCGGGUCGGGUUCCGAUGAGAGCAACUCUCAAGAUGAUGAAGUAGAUGAUUUGGGGGUCAAAGCUGCAUUAUCAAUGCUCAAGUUCUAUAAAAACCGGCAGGACUGUGUAACGGUUGACUGUUAAGCAGGGGAAAUCUCACCAAUAAUGCCAAAAAGUUGCCGCUAUAUACCAACAUGCAGUGAAUACUCCAUGAUCGCUUACAAGAAAUAUGGAGUUGUUAAAGGGACAGUUUUGACUGCCUGGCGUCUUUGUCGCUGUAACCCUCUAGGAGGAUCUGGUUUUGAUCCCCCGAGAUGGUUCGAUGAGGAAAGUCCACCGCAGGAAUAACACUUAAUACUCCAUUAAACAGAAAUACAGUUAUCUUCUAAUAGGUUCUGCACAAUCAUGUGAGCAAAAAGACUGUUAAUGAUGAAGAUUCGUAUAGGAUGCGAGUCUUUGGUGUUCUUGGAGGAGCACAGUGGCCAAGCAUUAGGGCAGCAAAACUAAACCAAACCCACAGUAGACCACAUUUGAAAGUAAAGAAUCAACGCCAAACCUGCAGUAGACCACAUUUGGAAGUUACUUAUCUACCUUGUUAAGUUUUUGAGUUCAAGUUAUGCUCAAGACUGUAUCAACUACGCGAUAUUGCAUUUCUCCCCCCUUACCCUGUGAUACUAUCGUUGCACUUUUAGCCCUACAAUGUAUUUGAAGUGGCACAUUUGAUCCUAUUUCACAAGGACCAGAAGUACAAAACUCAUUUCUUUUGGCUGCAUAUAAGCUUGAAGCAAGUAUGAGGUAACUUAAGAAAACUCAUUU
This is an RNA transcript of Solanum tuberosum (potato), 1045 nucleotides long. It is a transcript of the gene named UPF0161 protein At3g09310, with no coding region annotated. The transcript is spliced from 6 exons. Lineage: Eukaryota; Viridiplantae; Streptophyta; Magnoliopsida; Solanales; Solanaceae. The record is from RefSeq and is a predicted model, not a curated record.